GGCCUGGUGGUCUAGUAGUAUGAUUCCUUCUUAGGGCAACUUGAAGUUGAAGAAUUUGGAGGAGGUCCCGGGUUCAAUUCCCGGCCAGGCCC
This is a non-coding RNA of Daedaleopsis nitida, 92 nucleotides long. The record is from the annotation of a GenBank genome assembly. NCBI's taxonomy places the organism in Eukaryota, Fungi, Basidiomycota, Agaricomycetes, Polyporales, Polyporaceae.